Molecule: ribosomal RNA, 803 nt
Filed under: Coptodryas parva
Lineage: Eukaryota; Metazoa; Arthropoda; Insecta; Coleoptera; Curculionidae
Description: eukaryotic LSU rRNA
Rfam family: Eukaryotic large subunit ribosomal RNA
Source: RNAcentral
CAGAGUACGUGAAACCGUUUAGGGGUAAACCUGAGAAACCCGAAAGGUCGAAGGGAGAAAUUCAUUCGCGUUUCGACGCAGGCGUGGGAGGGGGUCGAGCGACGGGACGCGUUCUUCGGAACGAGUUUCGCGCCCUCCGUCCUUCGAACCGGCGGCGAACGCGUGCACUUUUCUCCUGGUAGGACGUCGCGAUCCGUCGGGUGUCGGUCUACGACGACUUGCGGUGGAGCCCGUUCGUCGCGUCUCGUACGUGCGAACGGACCCGCUCGUUCCGGCCGACUCGCUCGACGGUAUACAUAAGGUCGGAGGCCGCUCGCAUUUUUUAUUAAGGAGCGUUCGACGCGUCGCAAGCGCGCCACGUGAGUCGGCACGCGGACCCAGUGCCGCGUCCGACCUCUGGUGACUGUUGGCGACGACGUUCUCGGACAGACCUCUUUCGUCGUUUUUUUUAAACGACGAAGACCGAUCGGCGACGCUAUAGCUUUGGGUACUUUCAGGACCCGUCUUGAAACACGGACCAAGGAGUCUAGCAUGUACGCGAGUCAUUGGGAAUCGCUAAACCUAAAGGCGUAAUGAAAGUGAAGGUCUUCCUAGCGGAGACCGAGGGAAGACGGACGAUCGUCGAUCACCCUCAAAAGUGGGAUCGUUCCGCAUUCCCGGGGCGUCUCGUUCCCCCUCGUGUUCGCGCGCGGCGGCGGGAAGAGGCGCACCAAGAGCGUACACGCUGGGACCCGAAAGAUGGUGAACUAUGCCUGGUCAGGACGAAGUCAGGGGAAACCCUGAUGGAGGUCCGUAGCGAUUCU